Molecule: ribosomal RNA, 297 nt
Filed under: uncultured Pseudomonadota bacterium
Lineage: Bacteria; Pseudomonadati; Pseudomonadota
Description: uncultured proteobacterium partial 16S ribosomal RNA
Rfam family: Bacterial small subunit ribosomal RNA
Source: RNAcentral
AACGAACGCUGGCGGCAGGCCUAACACAUGCAAGUCGAACGCUCCAGCAAUGGAGAGUGGCAGACGGGUGAGUAACGCGUGGGAACCUUCCCUAUGGUUCGGAAUAGCUCAGGGAAACUUGAGGUAAUACCGGAUAAGCCCUUCGGGGGAAAGAUUUAUCGCCAUUGGAUGGGACCCGCGUAGGAUUAGCUAGUUGGUGAGGUAACGGCUCACCAAGGCGACGAUCCUUAGCUGGGUCUGAGAGGAUGAUCAGCCACACUGGGACUGAGACACGGCCCAGACUCCUACGGGUGGCAG